UCGUACAAAAUGUGUGAGGCGUGCAAGGGCUGUCGCUGACUUUUAACGCAAAAGUCGUGCACGCCGGAGCGUGUCCUCUCACAUAAAAUCCAUCUCACCCUUUUGUGCACCACCGCGUGGGCACCCUUCGGGAUCAAACCGAUCCCGGAGGGGGCUUGCGUUUUCACACAAACCCCUUCUUAAAAGUGUAGAAUGUCCCCAUUUUUGCGAUAACACGCAAUCAAUA
This 226-nucleotide unclassified non-coding RNA is filed under the name uncultured Lactarius. RNAcentral describes it as "sequence contains ITS1". Lineage: Eukaryota; Fungi; Basidiomycota; Agaricomycetes; Russulales; Russulaceae. The record is from RNAcentral.